UUAAGCAUAUCACUAAGCGGAGGAAAAGAAACUAACAAGGAUUCCCUUAGUAACUGCGAGUGAAGAGGGAAAAGCCCAGCACCGAAGGUAGUAUCCAUUUGGGUAUCUACCAAUGUGGUGUUAAGGUCAGCUCGCGUAGGUGCGGCUCCAUCUCAAGUCCAGCAAUGAGUACGGCUAUGGACUGAGCCCAGAGCGGGUGAAAGGCCCGUUGAGGUGGAGUUCAGAAAUGACCGCGCCUAUCGUGUUUGACCAUGGAGUCGGGUUGUUUGUGAAUGCAGCCCUAAGCGGGUGGUAAACUCCAUCCAAGGCUAAAUACUUACACGAGUCCGAUAGCGAACAAGUACCGUGAGGGAAAGUUGAAAAGUACUUUGAAGAGAGAGUAAACAGUGCGUGAAGCCGCAUAGAGGUUAAACGGGUAGAGUUAAACUGCGUGGGUCAUGGAUUCAGCCGAUGAAUGUGACUUGUGCUUGGACAAAUUGAUUCGUCUUCAGAGUCUGCUUAGCUGCAGGUCCCAUCCGGGAUUCACGAAGCACUUACCAAGUGUUGUGUGCUCUGUUGAUGAGAUGUCAGUUCGUCGGUGCACUUCCAUGACUCCUUGACCACGAUCGGUGUCAUUGGACUGUCCUCGUUGUCAAACUGUGGAUGUAGAAUUUUCUAUGUCUUCGGUGUGGUAGCACCCCUGUGUAUGCAGGUCGCAGUUGUCUUCGAGAUACAAGCUGAUGGACCGGGGCGACGGCCUUGGCGUGCUCUUAUACCCUCUGAUAGAUUGUGUUGGGUAUGGUUUUUGUGUGCUUGUGUAAGCAGGCCCAUUGACUACUCAGUGUUUUCUAUUAGUGUGGUGUCGGGGUGGCCAAUUUUGAGGGCCAAAGUCAGUGGUGUGUGGUAAACUUUCUACCCGACCCGUCUUGAAACACGGACCAAGGAGUUUAACAUGUGCGCGAGUCAUUGGGCCUUCCGAAACCCAAAGGCGAAGUGAAAGUGAAGGUUUGCUCUGCAAGCUAUGGUGAGAUCCUGUCGUCUCCUGUGCCACCAAGCAUUCGAACGGCAGGCGCAUCACCGGUCCGUCCAAUAGUGUGGUUGAAAUUCUGUUUCACAUCAUUAGGGCGGAACAUGAGCGCACACGUUGAGACCCGAAAGAUGGUGAACUAUGCUUGCGUAGGUUGAAGCCAGGGGAAACCCUGGUGGAGGACCGCAGCGAUUCUGACGUGCAAAUCGAUCGUCAAACGUGAGUAUAGGGGCGAAAGACUAAUCGAACCAUCUAGUAGCUGGUUCCCUCC
Molecule: ribosomal RNA, 1277 nt
Filed under: Transversotrema daphnidis
Lineage: Eukaryota; Metazoa; Platyhelminthes; Trematoda; Azygiida; Transversotrematidae
Description: partial large subunit ribosomal RNA
Rfam family: Eukaryotic large subunit ribosomal RNA
Source: RNAcentral